Molecule: unclassified non-coding RNA, 311 nt
Filed under: Hevea brasiliensis (rubber tree)
Lineage: Eukaryota; Viridiplantae; Streptophyta; Magnoliopsida; Malpighiales; Euphorbiaceae
Source: RNAcentral
UUGGUGGCAGUGGCCGGCAGCUACGACCUUCGGUCCCUGAGAUAUUCAGGGAAAAACACUCUCCAUUAUAAGCGAAUGGGACGGUCAGUAGUGAAUGUAGCAGCAGUAGCAGCAGUACAACAGACCCAUAUUACUACUAUAUGAUUAUUAUAUAGUGUUAUUAUAAUUACAUACACACAGAGAGAUCCAAAGUGUGUUGUUAUUAUUACAUUAUUACAUACUGUUGUUAACAAACACACGACCAUCAUGUCAUCAGUACGGUUACCAUUAGUAGUAGUAGUAGAAGUACAAGUAUUUCAUUCUAUUGUUGU